Budorcas taxicolor (takin) is the source of this 285-nucleotide long non-coding RNA. RefSeq lists it as uncharacterized. Lineage: Eukaryota; Metazoa; Chordata; Mammalia; Artiodactyla; Bovidae. The transcript has 3 exons. The record is from RefSeq and is a predicted model, not a curated record.
CUCAGACUUGCAAACCAGCCAGACAUGGACCUUCGAGGGGCCCCGGUUUACUGUGAAAACAGCAAUGUCUCCACCUGGAUCCUGGAGAAGGUGAUACACACUGGAGCUGCAGGAAGAGCUCCUUGGCAGAGAUACUCUGUGGAGAAGCAGCCACCACCCAAGGGAGAUGCUGGAAAAAUGAUGAGCCAUCCACAGCACUCAACACAGGGUUGGCACAGAGUAAGUGCCCAGCAGACAUUUCUUAAGGGAAGGAAGUAGGAUAAUUACUCCAAACCCCCAGGAAAG